Molecule: RNA transcript, 3693 nt
Organism: Gadus macrocephalus (Pacific cod)
Lineage: Eukaryota; Metazoa; Chordata; Actinopteri; Gadiformes; Gadidae
Gene name: chemokine-like protein TAFA-1
Exons: 6
Source: RefSeq, a predicted model, not a curated record
UCUCUCUUUCUCCUUCCCUCUCUCUCCCACGCUGACUCUGACUCUCAGUGCGCUGUAGAGAGAGGAGCGAGGUGCACACGUUGAGCGCGGCAACUCUACAGGGGGGUGGGAGUGAGCGAGCAGCAGACACAGCAGCCGCUACGAGCCAGCCUUUCCACGGCACGCGCGCAGCCAGGAGAAGGAGAGCCGAAGACGAAAGAAGAAGAGAAGAGGAGGAGCACUAAAAGGGGCAAAUUAACUCCCCACCGCCGCGCCGGGGCUCCGUACCGCCACAGAGAGAGACACACAGCGAGGGACAAGACAGUGACAGAGAGAGAUACAGAGUGGGAGAGAGAGAGAGAGGUAUACAGAGAGAGAGAGAGAGGAGAAGAGGAGGAGGCAGAGGCAGAAGCUUCCGUCUGUGGUUGAAGCAGCAGUGAGCGGAUCAGUGUCUUUACAACCCACAGAACCUGGAUAGUUUUGCGCUUCUGACUCGUGCGUAUUUGUGCUCUUUCUGGCUGUCCCGUUCCCUCUGUGUGUGUGUGCGCGCGCAGGAGUUUUUAAGGAUUUUCAAGUGGCAGCUACACCAAAAAGGACAAGAGGACAGAGACAGUAUUUCAUCCUCUGCUGUGGCAUUUGCUUUUUUGGGUUUAUUUUUUGUCUUUAGUGAGUGGUAAUUGUCCUGGUCGAGGGAUCUGCCAUCUGGGAAUCGCUUGUUGUUCUCUCACUAUGGAUGGAUUUAAGAGAGUGAAGUGAGAGAGCUGGACAGGCAGCAACACUGACUGAGCGUCUUCUGUUCUGGACUCGCUGCUCAGACUCUGGGGGCUCUGCCAUGUCCUGGUUGUUGGCAGUGUGGAUAAGCCUGGGCUUCCUACUGGCGUGCCAGGCCACGCUCUACCAGACCAUCCAGCAGCACCAUGUGGCCCGUCCCGGCCGCACCGACAUCCUCACGCUCGAGGGAGGGACGUGUGAGGUGAUCGCAGCCCAUCGGUGCUGUAACAAGAACCGCAUCGAAGAGCGCUCCCAGACCGUUAAGUGCUCCUGUUUGCCGGGAAAAGUGGCCGGAACGACGCGCAACAAGCCUUCAUGCGUUGACGCAUCCAUUGUGAUCGGGAAGUGGUGGUGUGAGAUGGAGCCGUGCCUGGAGGGAGAAGAGUGCAAGACUCUGCCUGACAACUCUGGAUGGAUGUGCUCCUCUGGAAACAAAAUCAAGACCACGAGGAACACCCAGCCAUACUCUCCUUUUUAGCUUCCUGAAGCAAAAUGCAGAGGAUGCUACAACAGAAAUUGAGCUGCAUUCUUGCUUCUGUAAAGAUUCAUCCCGGGACCUAACGGACAGCGCUACACGUUGAUCACCGUGCCAGCCCCCCCCCCCCUACCGCCCACCAACACCCCUUCCCCUCCAACCCUCAGACCCUCGGACCCUCAGGGCCCACCGCCCCCCCCCACGCCCCCUGAGACUGUGCUCCACCGCCAUAUCAACUAGAUAUACUGUCUCCAUGGACACUGGAUGACCGAGGAUUACCAGGGAUUGAAGGAGGGAUUCCAUCUCGAGUCAAAUAAACAGCUUUGCCUGCGUGUUGCCAAGGAUUCAAAACUGAUCUUAAUCCACCCUCCCCCCCACUCACACACACACACACACACAUUUGUUGAUCUAUGAGCCCCGUGUUGGUAACUCUCUCCCCCCCCCCCCCCACUCCCUCUCCAGGGAGAAGAAGGACUUGAAAGCAAGAAGGGUUAUUUUAAAGGCUGUGAGGACAUUAUGUAAAGCCCUGCCCCCCCUCGCCCACCACCCCUCAGUCAGACCAGAGCAAACGAGCUGCGCUGCUCGUAUGAAUCUGAACAAUGGACAUCUCACGGGAGGCAAAUGGAGGUUGGAAUUACGUAAAUAUCAGUAAUCUGUUUUUUCCCUCUUUUUUUUUUAUCUUUCUUUCUUUUCCGUCCUCAUCCCGGUGGGAAGCCUUUCUAGAAUAAAAAGUGCCGCCCUGGCAUGUCGGCUUACUGACCAAUCGCUUUGUGAAGAAGACCGGGGGGGGAAAGAACCUGGGAACAUGCAGUGAGCACGCUCAGCUGCCGGCUCAUCAUAAAGUUAAUAAACACAGGUCAAGAGGUCACAAGGUCGCAAGGUUAAGGGGUUGUAAGGUCAGGAGGUUAGUGUCCCAGCGGCAUCACAUCUCAUCGCUCUAUGAUUGACAUGUCAGGUGAACUUUCAUUUGGCAGCAUGCUCUGUGUAACUCAUGGCCCCAUUCCUUUUUCUUUGUACGUAAGAUAAACCCUAGAGUCUAUACACGUCUAUCUAUAUAUAUAUAUAUAUGAAUAUAUAUAGAUGAAUAUAUAGAUGACAUGUAAGAAUACAUAAUGAUCAAGACGGAAAUCGCCCAGGGCUCGUGUACAGAACUGCUCUCAUGUGAUUUUUUGCUUGCGUUGAAUAUUCUUGGAAGCAGCCUCAUUGUAAAUGAACAACGUCCACUUUACUCAUGCGCCAGUGUUCUCGGUUUUAGACAGUAAAAUGCUUGUAGUCUCUAUAAGGACGAUUCAAAAAGAAGAAAAAAAAGAACAAAGAAAAACACUGUACAGAACUCCCGCACAAAAUGAAGCAACGACGCAAACGUCUCGACUGGAACGGCAAACAGUACAAACUGAACCACAGUCAGACUGUUCCGUCAUGCGUUGGUGUGUGCGUCUGGGCGUGUGUGUGUGAGUGUGUGUCUGCGUAUGCGUGCGCCGUGUCAGUUGUGGAGGUGAAAUAGGGGAACGUUUUCUUGCAAGUCUCCCCCUCGGACAUCAAAGAUAAUCUACGGGUGAUUUAUUCGACAUUGGGAAGGUAUUAGUCACGUUGAAGAAACAUACAGUUAUCCCCAGUAGAUAUAAUGUCAUCGCAUUACCUACAAUACAGCCUUAUGAGAAAUAAAAAAUACAGAUUUUCUAUACCGAUAUUUCGUCUCAAAUUCAUUGAGCUGCAUCGUUGAGCAGCUGAUGUAUUGCCGUAUGUUCCUAUUGUGACCGUAUACCAUGUUAUAAUAUGCAGUUGGUCGGGGGAUUGACAAAGUUUCAUUUUUACAAUGAGGUAAUGUUCUGAACAGAUUUACUGCUUGGGUAAACAGGCAAUCACCUAGAGGACAAGAAGGUUCUGAAAAUGACUAGCCGACAAACAUAUGCGCACACACAGACACACUCACACCCACACACUCACACACAUAUGCACAAAUGAAUCUGUGAUUUUUCAUUUAGACAAUUCCCUGGGUGGCAGAGUGGGCUUAUCAGAAAUGCAUAUGCAAUUCAUUCAUGCAAUUAGAAUAAAGAUUUCCAAUAUGGUGCCGGAGAAAGAAAAAAGAAAACGGAUGAUUUUGAAAAUCUGCAAUAUCGUCCGUUGAUGCAAGUUUUGUUUCAUCUCCCUACGGACACGCGAGCGUGCAUUCAUCAUUUAGAAACUUGGCUGCUUCCUCUGUGGCAUUGCCUAACGGAGCUCACAGAAGGUAGGAAAGUGACAGAUGCAUCGAUCUCCCAGAGGUCUCGCCAGAACGCUGCAAAAAAAUACAAAAAAGGGUAGGACUAAUGCAGUAAUGGGAUUCUCCUUUCAUUACGAUUGCCAAUAGGAAUCCCCCUGUCCUGGAGUCUCACAUUAAAAUAGAAGAUGAGUAGUUGUUAUUGGAAAAUAGUUUGUAACAACACGUAACUCCGGCAAAUUCUGAAAUAAACAACAUUGUUUUAAUA